Molecule: ribosomal RNA, 844 nt
Filed under: Citrobacter freundii
Lineage: Bacteria; Pseudomonadati; Pseudomonadota; Gammaproteobacteria; Enterobacterales; Enterobacteriaceae
Description: partial 23S ribosomal RNA
Rfam family: Bacterial large subunit ribosomal RNA
Source: RNAcentral
GGUUAAGCGACUAAGCGUACACGGUGGAUGCCCUGGCAGUCAGAGGCGAUGAAGGACGUGCUAAUCUGCGAUAAGCGUCGGUAAGGUGAUAUGAACCGUUAUAACCGGCGAUUUCCGAAUGGGGAAACCCAGUGUGAUUCGUCACACUAUCAUUACGUGAAUACAUAGCGUAAUGAAGCGAACCGGGGGAACUGAAACAUCUAAGUACCCCGAGGAAAAGAAAUCAACCGAGAUUCCCCCAGUAGCGGCGAGCGAACGGGGAGCAGCCCAGAGUCUGAAUCAGCUUGUGUGUUAGUGGAACGGUCUGGAAAGUCCGACGGUACAGGGUGAUAGUCCCGUACACCAAAAUGCACAGGUUGUGAACUCGAAGAGUAGGGCGGGACACGUGGUAUCCUGUCUGAAUAUGGGGGGACCAUCCUCCAAGGCUAAAUACUCCUGACUGACCGAUAGUGAACCAGUACCGUGAGGGAAAGGCGAAAAGAACCCCGGCGAGGGGAGUGAAAAAGAACCUGAAACCGUGUACGUACAAGCAGUGGGAGCCUCUUUAUGGGGUGACUGCGUACCUUUUGUAUAAUGGGUCAGCGACUUAUAUUCUGUAGCAAGGUUAACCGUAUAGGGGAGCCGAAGGGAAACCGAGUCUUAACUGGGCGUUAAGUUGCAGGGUAUAGACCCGAAACCCGGUGAUCUAGCCAUGGGCAGGUUGAAGGUUGGGUAACACUAACUGGAGGACCGAACCGACUAAUGUUGAAAAAUUAGCGGAUGACUUGUGGCUGGGGGUGAAAGGCCAAUCAAACCGGGAGAUAGCUGGUUCUCCCCGAAAGCUAUUUAGGUAGCGCCUCGUGAA